This 906-nucleotide ribosomal RNA is filed under the name uncultured Bacillota bacterium. Its description in RNAcentral is "bacterial SSU rRNA". It matches the Rfam family "Bacterial small subunit ribosomal RNA", at positions 18 to 916 of the family's 1533-position model. Lineage: Bacteria; Bacillati; Bacillota. The record is from RNAcentral.
UAUGGCUCAGGAUGAACGCUAGCUACAGGCUUAACACAUGCAAGUCGAGGGGCAGCGGGAUUGAAGCUUGCUUCAAUUGCCGGCGACCGGCGCACGGGUGAGUAACGCGUAUCCAACCUUCCGUACACUCAGGGAUAGCCUUUCGAAAGAAAGAUUAAUACCUGAUGGUAUGAUGAGAUUGCAUGAUAGCAUCAUUAAAGAUUUAUCGGUGUACGAUGGGGAUGCGUUCCAUUAGGUAGUAGGCGGGGUAACGGCCCACCUAGCCAACGAUGGAUAGGGGUUCUGAGAGGAAGGUCCCCCACAUUGGAACUGAGACACGGUCCAAACUCCUACGGGAGGCAGCAGUGAGGAAUAUUGGUCAAUGGACGAGAGUCUGAACCAGCCAAGUAGCGUGAAGGAUGAAGGUCCUACGGAUUGUAAACUUCUUUUAUAAGGGAAUAAACCCUCCCACGUGUGGGAGCUUGUAUGUACCUUAUGAAUAAGCAUCGGCUAACUCCGUGCCAGCAGCCGCGGUAAUACGGAGGAUGCGAGCGUUAUCCGGAUUUAUUGGGUUUAAAGGGAGCGCAGACGGGUCGUUAAGUCAGCUGUGAAAGUUUGGGGCUCAACCUUAAAAUUGCAGUUGAUACUGGCGUCCUUGAGUGCGGUUGAGGUGUGCGGAAUUCGUGGUGUAGCGGUGAAAUGCUUAGAUAUCACGAAGAACUCCGAUUGCGAAGGCAGCACACUAAUCCGUAACUGACGUUCAUGCUCGAAAGUGUGGGUAUCAAACAGGAUUAGAUACCCUGGUAGUCCACACGGUAAACGAUGGAUACUCGCUGUUGGCGAUAUACUGUCAGCGGCUUAGCGAAAGCGUUAAGUAUCCCACCUGGGGAGUACGCCGGCAACGGUGCAACUCAAAGGAAUUGACGG